AUACAGAAUCGACGUAGAAGAGGAGAACGAAGUGAGGGUUCACUUCCAGAACCUGGCUCAAAACUCCUGGGCAAGGACGGGAUCACGGAGUGGACUGUAGCAGACUUCGGUGUUACUACUCCAGGUCAGAUGUGAAGGGACCAGGAUGACUGGUCAAGUCCUGGAUCACUGCUUGUCAUCGAUGGUGGUGAAACAGUAUCAGUGAGCAUUGGUUCAGACUACAAUGGUGUGGAGGGAUUUGGUGCCUCCAAGAGAUCAGGUACGAGCUAACAGUUGUUCAUAUCGCACAGAAAGUUCAUGGCACCAGAUAAAGUCUUUAACUGGUCAACUCCCAUCUACUGCAAGGAGAAGCCCAAGACUAUGCAAUAUCUUCUGCAAUAACUACUAAUAAUAAUGAAAAAAAAUGAAUCCGUAAAAUU
Long non-coding RNA from Schistocerca americana (American grasshopper), 419 nucleotides. RefSeq lists it as uncharacterized. Lineage: Eukaryota; Metazoa; Arthropoda; Insecta; Orthoptera; Acrididae. The transcript has 3 exons. The record is from RefSeq and is a predicted model, not a curated record.